RNAcentral lists this transfer RNA (72 nucleotides) under Paulasterias sp. SS-2022. Its description in RNAcentral is "tRNA-Gln". It matches the Rfam family "tRNA". Rfam says of the family: Transfer RNA (tRNA) molecules are approximately 80 nucleotides in length. Their secondary structure includes four short double-helical elements and three loops (D, anti-codon, and T loops). The record is from RNAcentral. Lineage: Eukaryota; Metazoa; Echinodermata; Asteroidea; Forcipulatida; Paulasteriidae.
UAGAAAGUAGUUUAAUUCGUAAAACCGGGAAAUUUGACUUCCCAAUCAUAAGUUCAACUCUUAUCUUUCUAU